GACGAACGCUGGCGGCGUGCUUAACACAUGCAAGUCGUACGGUAAGGCCCUUUCGGGGGUACACGAGUGGCGAACGGGUGCGUAACACGUGCGUAACCUGCCCACAACUUUGGGAUAACGCUAGGAAACUGGAGCUAAUACUGGAUAUGUGCAACUGCUGCAUGGUGGGGGUUGGAAAGCUCCGGCGGUUGUGGAUGGACUCGCGGCCUAUCAGCUUGUUGGUGGGGUAGUGGCCUACCAAGGCGGCGACGGGUAGCCGGCCUGAGAGGGUGACCGGCCACAUUGGGACUGAGAGACGGCCCAGACUCCUACGGGUGGCAGCAGGGGGGAAUCUUGCACGAGGGGCGCCAGCCUGGUGCAGCAGCGCCGCGGGCGGGAUGACGGCCUUCGGGUUGUAAAACGCUUUCAGCAGGGACGAAGCUUUUUGUGACGGUACCUGCAGAAGAAGCACCGGCUAACUACGUG
Molecule: ribosomal RNA, 465 nt
Filed under: uncultured bacterium
Lineage: Bacteria
Description: partial 16S ribosomal RNA
Rfam family: Bacterial small subunit ribosomal RNA
Source: RNAcentral